AUUGAACGCUGGCGGUAUGCUUAACGCAUGCAAGUCGAACGGCAGCACAGUAUGUAGCAAUACAUAUGGGUGGCGAGUGGCGGACGGGUGAGUAACGCGUAGGAAUCUACCCUAAAGCGGGGGACAGCCCGAGGAAACUCGGGCUCAUACCGCAUAAUCUCGAAAGAGUAAAGCUGGGGCAACCUGGCACUUUAGGAGGAGCCUGCGUCCGAUUAGCUAGUUGGUGAGGUAAAGGCUCACCAAGGCGAUGAUCGGUAGCUGGUCUGAGAGGAGGAUCAGACACACUGGGACUGAGACACGGCCCAGACUCCUGCGGGAGGCAGCAGUGGGGAAUAUUGGACAAUGGGGGCAACCCUGAACCAGCAAUACCGCGUGUGUGAAGAAGGCCUCAGGGUUGUAAAGCACUUUAGUUGGGGAAGAAGGAUAGUUGUUUAAGAGAUGAUUAUUUUGACGGUACCCAAAGAAUAAGCACCGGCUAACUCUGUGCCAGCCGCCGCCGUAA
Molecule: ribosomal RNA, 502 nt
Filed under: uncultured bacterium
Lineage: Bacteria
Description: partial 16S ribosomal RNA
Rfam family: Bacterial small subunit ribosomal RNA
Source: RNAcentral